RNAcentral lists this long non-coding RNA (5350 nucleotides) under Sus scrofa (pig). RNAcentral's name for it is "lncRNA (ENSSSCG00015053101.1)". Lineage: Eukaryota; Metazoa; Chordata; Mammalia; Artiodactyla; Suidae. The record is from RNAcentral.
CCACACAUACAUAAGGCAGCUUGAAUUUAGUAAUUGUGAUGGCUUGACUCUUGCAAAUAUUUCCAAGAGACCUCUGGUGGCUUUGGGGCUUUGGGAAGAUCAUCCCAUGAUGUACUCAACCUGAUGAAACUGUUCUUUGAAAUUUUCACUUGUGUUUGUCUAUUUCUCCCCUCCUUGGAAUGGUGAUUUAAGGGGAUAGAAUCUGGCUUGCUGGUGGGUAGGGGAGUCAGCACACUUUAAAUCAAGGGCAGCUGUCAUGUGAAUUGCUUGAUUCUAGACUGAACAGAAGAAGCAUGCUGAGAAAGGAUGGGAAAAAAAGAAGUUGUAUUUUCUGAUGGAGAUGGUAGGGGGGGAGGAUUUUUACAUGAUGGAGUAUCUAAUUCAUGCUGGAUGCUUUCAUGGCCAAAGGCUCUGGGUAGAGAUUUGUGGAGGGCAAAAUACAAGAAAUUCGACAGCUAAUGGUGAAUCUGGAGAGCCCUGAUUAAAUUAUAUUUAAAUUAUUUAUACUGAGGGUAUUCAAACAUUUCCAUUAUUUGUGGAUAAUUUCACUGUUGGAAGAUUCAGAUCCAAAGCAGGCUUAAGUGGAUGAAAUGGAACUGGAUUCUGGCUAAAGAACAUAGCAGAAAUUGAGCAUAAUCAAAAUUAAACAUAGAUGAGUAGCACUGUGUGUAUGAUAUAAGCACCUCAGAAUGAAAUAUAGUGGAUUGCUCAGAAACAGUAAAUAUAAGCAAUAAUGGACAAAUUGCUUCAGUCACAGAGUCAAAAAACCCUGGCCAAAAGUCAUCGAAAUAUUUGAAACUCAAAAAAUAAUCCACAGGAAUUGGAAGAUAUGUGUGUGUAUUCCUUAUGUUUGCAAAUAUAAUUGCAGAAGAUUUUGUGUAGACAUAGGUUGGACUUGAUACCUCCCAAUUCCAUUGUUACAAUUCUUUUAUUCACUAGUAAAUAUAAGAACCACUUUAGACUGCUGGUCUGCAGUGCUGAAACAGUAGCCUUCUUUAACAUAACAACUAGGGUUUGAAGAUCAUUGAUAGCUGGAAGUGGGGUUAGUUAGAAGCUAAUAAACCAUUACUAAGUGAAUAUGUCAUGUUAUAAGGGGCCUUUGAUACCACAAAGUUGUAAAAUGCUAUAGAUAAGCUAGAAUGUUGCAGUCAUACAGCACAGUUUGGGUAGGUGAAGUGGUUAAUGAGAUGAGAGAUACAGCUGUCAAUGAAUCAAAUCCAAUUUAAUUCACAUCAGUAAAUACAUACAGAGUACCCACUGUAGGUCUGGUAUUGUGCCAGUUGCUGGGAAGCCAAAAUGAAUACAUUGGAGCACCUGUCCCAAAAAAACUUACACUCCACUGAAAGACGCAAAGAAGACAUAAGCAAUAAGCUGGAAGGUGAUGUGAUGGAAUGCAUGUAAUGAGAAAUAUGCAAUUCUAGGACACGUAUAAGGCAUAGAGAUUAUAAUAUAAGGGAACAAGGAGCAUUAGUUUAUGCAUGUGACUUUUUCUUGGUGUGAGGGGAGGAGGGAAAAAUGGAAAGUUUUAGGGAGAAAUUUUCAUCUGAUCUGUUUAAAAAUGAAGAGGAGCAAAUCAGAGAUAUUCAAGGGCUGAGCACAGGAAAAAAUUGGGGAGCAAUGAUGUAAAUGUUUGCUUUCUUGAGAGAAGGGAGAUGGAUAAUGGAUGGAGAUCAUCAAUUCGCUUCUUUUCCAGGCCAAGUAUUAAAAAUCUAGAAUUUCAUGACUUUGAUUCAAAUUUUAGUUUUGCAUACUCAUCUCAUUAAUUUUAAGCAUUUUUGAUAGAACUGAACUGAAAAUCCCCCUCAUGCUUAAAGUUUGAAAGAACUUUGAAGUCAUCUUUGGUUUUCCCAUCACUUAUUCAACUCAAGGAAUAUUUAUGGAGAACCUACUAUGUGCCAUGUUGCCAAGUACUAUUCUAUACACUUAGAAUACAUAAAUAAAUGAGACUGAUAUCCUUGCCCUCACAAAGCUUAGGUUUUAAGAGAGAAAGCAGUAACGAAUACACCUAAGAUGUAAAUAUUAUAGUCUGCCAAAAGGCAGCAAAUGCACAGGGGAAAAGUUGGUGUAUGCCUCUGUUUGCCCAAGACAUGCUCAGUUUAUUCCUAUUGCCCCAAUAUAGAGUUAUUAGCAUCACAUCCUUAACUCUAAAAGAUGCCCCAGUUUGGAUCAGACACUAUAUAAACUGGUAAUUAUAGUUAAAGGGAAUCAGGAACAUGUGUGUGUGUGUGUGUGUCUGCACGUGUGUGUGUGCAUGCACUUGCACAUGUGUGGGGCCACAUUAUGAUAUUUAACACAGUAAUCCAGGUAAGCCUCAUUGAGAAGAAGACGUAUGAGCAAAAAUUGAAGGAAGUGAGAGAGUGAGUCACCCAGAUAUCUUUGUGAGCACAAUUUCUGGGCAAAGCCCUAGGAUUUCCAAGGAAGACAAGGUAGUUAGGACCCUGAAAGGGAAUGAAUGAAGAAAGAUCAAUUGGAGAUGCCAUCAGGAAAAAAAGGAGAAGGAGUUGGAGAGGGAAGGACCUAUACCAUUGAGAGGGAGAUGAAUCCUCCUCUGAGUCCAGUGGGAGGAGACUGGGAAAUCCUACACACAAAAGACAAUCUGAUUCAUAUUUAAAAAUCAUUACUUUGCCAAUUCUUGGUGGUAUCCUCUUUGUAAAGAGUAUACUCUAGAGGGUAAAAGUAAGGCAAGUUGUCUAGAUAGGAGGCUCUCACAGUGAACUAAGUGAGAGAUGCCAUGGCUUGGAACAGGAUGGUGGCGGCAGAUAGGGAGAGAAGUGCAUUUCCUGACAGACAAGAGAGGAGGUUCCCAUGUCAUGCAGUAACAACAAAAAAUUCCCUAAAGAACUAGUUUAACAACUCUUGGGUUUUAGUCCUAACUGAGCUCUUAAAAAAUGAGUCGCUUCUCCAACUUGGCUUCAAAGUCUUGCCUUCUCUUUCAGAGCAUUUGCAAAAUGGUAAAUCCCAUGAAAGCUUAGUUCUACAAAUAAAACCUUCUGUCUAAGAAAUAUUAAGGAUGGUUCUGAUAGGGAUAAUUCUGGUUCAGUGCAAUGUGGUAUAUUUGCCAUGUUGAAAUAGAGAAUUUUGUCAAAUACACGGCUUUCCAAAUUGGAGCAAGUAGCUAAUAGAUAUUAAAAUAGUGAAUAAUGUUGAUGACAGGACAACACAUGGAGACAUAUUAUUGUGACUGGUGGAGCAGAGAGAGUCAAGACCUCUGCUUGUGUCACCAACUGCGACUGUCACCACAUCCUUUAACCUCUCAGAGUUGAAUGCCCUUGGUUGUACAUGAAACUUCUUGGGAUUAUAGCUCUGAAUUUGGGGAUUCACUUUGUUUUCACCUCUGACAUUGCAUGACUAUGUAAACGCUUUGAAAUCAGAUACUAGGAAUAAGGCUCUAAUAGACAAUAAUGAUCCUGAACUCACAGAGCCAGUUUUAAUAUUUUAUGGUUAUCUCAGUCCUCUUAUAUGUGUGCAUGUACAACUUGUGGUCAAGGACUGAUACCUUUUCUAAUAUAUUAAAUCCAUGGUCCAUAAAUCAGAGAGGCCCAUUUAGUGAUGAUGAAGAACACAGGUAUGUUUAUAAAUUGGAAAAAAAGAGGAACUACAUCCUAGGAAUAUUGAGUAUUGUAUUAUACAAAACUUUGAGUGAUAAUAACCAUCAAUUAUUAUAAUCAAGGUUAGCUGAAACUUUACUAUGAGUAAAGUGCUAGGUUCGAUACUUUACUAUAUCUUUUAAUGCUAAACAAAAAAGGAAGAUUCUAUGUGUAGGACUUCUUUUCAUACCCAUUUUAGAGAGAGAGAAGCAGAACCACAGAGACCUGAGUAACUUCCACAAAGUUAUUCAAACCUUGACAGUUGGCCUCCAGAUCGUGCACCAUCUUAACCACAAUACCCAACUCUCUCCUCAAUAUAUAGAGAGGGUUAGUAGUUUCUGGCAAUAAUGAGAAGUCAAUAAACAGAAGCUAUAAUGAUGAUGAUGGUUAUUAUAGCAGGGGGAAUUCAAUACUUGCUAGGUAAUGAAUGAAUUCAUGAGUCAUCUACACUGAGAAACUUAGGUGAUAACUGAAAUCAGGAAGAAAUGAGCUCAUCCAAGGGUAGAGGCCAGAGAAGAGCUGAGGAUGGAAAUUUGGAGGACAGAUAACCAUAUGCCCUGAUGCACACUUGGAUGGUGUUCAACCAGAAGUGACUAUUUUCAUGACCUACAGCAGAAACAAAUGUUUCCUCCAGGACUAGUUGAGUGACUCCUGAAUUUUGGUUCUAACUUUAAAACUGCUUCUCCCAGUUUUCUUCAAAGCCUUGUCUUCCCUUUCAAAACAUUUGAAAGAUGGAAAAUCCCACCUCCAAAGAGUCCAUUGAAGUUUAGAUGCAAACAUAACUGCUCCUGUCUGGUAAAGAUUAAUGAUGUCUCUGAUAUGGAUAUUUUUGAUUAAUUGCUGUUGAAACUCUUGAGCUGAAUGUCAAAGCUAGAAAAGGAACUCUUAAAUGGACUCAAAAGACAAGAGGCCCCUCUGUCCUUGAACAUAAUCCAAUCAAAGAGACUGCAAAGGAAAACACAAGAGACAGUGUUAAAUUCAUGGUGACAUGAGAGAUCCUUCUUUUUCCAUUUGUGAAAAAGAAACACACCAGGCCAUCAUUCUUUUAGAGACUAUCCUUUGAUAUUGACCUGCCUAAAAUGCAAAAAACAAAAACACACUUUUUCUUUUUUUUUUUUUUUUUUUCUUUUUUUAGUGCUGCACCCAUGGCAUAUGGAGCUUCCUGGGCUAGGGGUUGAAUCAGACUGUAGCUGCCAGCCUAUGCCACAACAACAGCAAUGCAGGAUCCGAGCCACAUCUGUGACCUAAACCAGAGCUCACGGCAAUGCCAGAUCCUUAACCCACUGAGUGAGGCCAGGGAUCAAACCUGCAACCUCAUGGUUCCUAGUUGGAUUUGGUUCUGCUGCACCACAAUGGGAACUCCAAAAGAAGUUUCUAAAACACGACACUUGACUUGUUAAACGUCUAUCAGCCCUGCAAAACCUCUUGUUUACCAAGUCUUGAUGUUCAAAGUCAUAUUAAAACAACCAAAUAAAAGGAAAUGCAGUCAAGAAAAUAUAAUGUCUAUAAGGUAGAAAAUUGAGGGGCGUAAUAGUUAGCAACAUCUCCUGCCGCUCUGUCAUUCUAUUGAGGCUGAGAGUUUGGUCUUAGUUAAUUUGUCCCAAAGGCACGAUGGGCUCCCAAUUCUGGACUCUUCUGCAUCAGUAUUAUUGGAUGGUUAUAUUAUAAUCAGACAAAACUAAUACAUAUCAUUCGUUCUUAAAAAUUGACUGGUAUUAAGUUGGAUGGUGUUAUGAGCAUGUUACUUAAGAAAAAAAAAAAAA